ACGCUAGCUACAGGCUUAACACAUGCAAGUCGAGGGGCAGCAUUUUAGUUUGCUUGCAAACUGAAGAUGGCGACCGGCGCACGGGUGAGUAACACGUAUCCAACCUGCCGAUAACUCCGGAAUAGCCUUUCGAAAGAAAGAUUAAUACCGGAUAGCAUACGAAUAUCGCAUGAUAUUUUUAUUAAAGAAUUUCGGUUAUCGAUGGGGAUGCGUUCCAUUAGUUUGUUGGCGGGGUAACGGCCCACCAAGACAACGAUGGAUAGGGGUUCUGAGAGGAAGGUCCCCCACAUUGGAACUGAGACACGGUCCAAACUCCUACGGGAGGCAGCAGUGAGGAAUAUUGGUCAAUGGGCGAGAGCCUGAACCAGCCAAGUAGCGUGAAGGAUGAAGGCUCUAUGGGUCGUAAACUUCUUUUAUAUGGGAAUAAAGUUUUCCACGUGUGGAAUUUUGUAUGUACCAUAUGAAUAAGGAUCGGCUAACUCCGUGCCAGCAGCCGCGGUAAUACGGAGGAUCCGAGCGUUAUCCGGAUUUAUUGGGUUUAAAGGGAGCGUAGGUGGAUUGUUAAGUCAGUUGUGAAAGUUUGCGGCUCAACCGUAAAAUUGCAGUUGAAACUGGCAGUCUUGAGUACAGUAGAGGUGGGCGGAAUUCGUGGUGUAGCGGUGAAAUGCUUAGAUAUCACGAAGAACUCCGAUUGCGAAGGCAGCUCACUAGACUGUCACUGACACUGAUGCUCGAAAGUGUGGGUAUCAAACAGGAUUAGAUACCCUGGUAGUCCACACAGUAAACGAUGAAUACUCGCUGUUUGCGAUAUACAGUAAGCGGCCAAGCGAAAGCAUUAAGUAUUCCACCUGGGGAGUACGCCGGCAACGGUGAAACUCAAAGGAAUUGACGGGGGCCCGCACAAGCGGAGGAACAUGUGGUUUAAUUCGAUGAUACGCGAGGAACCUUACCCGGGCUUAAAUUGCAACAGAAUAUAUUGGAAACAGUAUAGCCGUAAGGCUGUUGUGAAGGUGCUGCAUGGUUGUCGUCAGCUCGUGCCGUGAGGUGUCGGCUUAAGUGCCAUAACGAGCGCAACCCUUAUCUUUAGUUACUAACAGGUGAUGCUGAGGACUCUAGAGAGACUGCCGUCGUAAGAUGUGAGGAAGGUGGGGAUGACGUCAAAUCAGCACGGCCCUUACGUCCGGGGCUACACACGUGUUACAAUGGGGGGUACAGAAGGCGGCUACCUGGUGACAGGAUGCUAAUCCCAAAAACCUCUCUCAGUUCGGAUCGAAGUCUGCAACCCGACUUCGUGAAGCUGGAUUCGCUAGUAAUCGCGCAUCAGCCAUGGCGCGGUGAAUACGUUCCCGGGCCUUGUACACACCGCCCGCCAAGCCAUGAAAGCCGGGGGUACCUGAAGUACGUAACCGCAAGGAGCGUCCUAGGGUAAAACUGGUAAUUGGGGCUAAG
RNAcentral lists this ribosomal RNA (1449 nucleotides) under uncultured organism. RNAcentral describes it as "SSU rRNA". It matches the Rfam family "Bacterial small subunit ribosomal RNA". The record is from RNAcentral.